GACGAACUGUCCUAACGUUGUUCGGAAUUACUGGGCGUAAAGCGCACGUAGGCGGAUUGUUAAGUCGGGGGUGAAAUCCUGGAGCUCAACUCCAGAACUGCCUUCGAUACUGGCGAUCUCGAGUUCGGGAGAGGUGAGUGGAACUGCGAGUGUAGAGGUGAAAUUCGUAGAUAUUCGCAAGAACACCAGUGGCGAAGGCGGACUCACUGGCCCGAUACUGACGCUGAGGUGCGAAAGCGUGGGGAGCAAACAGGGA
This 256-nucleotide ribosomal RNA is filed under the name uncultured bacterium. RNAcentral describes it as "partial 16S ribosomal RNA". It matches the Rfam family "Bacterial small subunit ribosomal RNA", at positions 524 to 778 of the family's 1533-position model. The record is from RNAcentral.